UUCACACCAUUUGUGCCAGCAUUGGUAUUUCCAUUAGCUGCUUCCACAGAAAGAGGCUUUUGAUCAGCAGCUACAGAUGUGGAAUUAUCACCCUGAGGAUGGGCAGCAGAAGUUGGCGUGAAUGGCCCACUGGUUGGUGUCAACGGCUGAAAAAAGGGAGGAUACUGAUAGUGUUGAGGGCCAUACAACUGACCAUCAUUUCCCAUGGUUGGAACUGGAGAACCAGCUGGAGAGUAGGGAGCAUAGGGUGCAUAUCCAUAUCCAUGGUGAUACACCAGAGACGACCCAUUAUCCCCAUAGACUCC
Molecule: long non-coding RNA, 305 nt
Filed under: Medicago truncatula (barrel medic)
Lineage: Eukaryota; Viridiplantae; Streptophyta; Magnoliopsida; Fabales; Fabaceae
Description: long non-coding RNA (MTRU_LNC006563)
Source: RNAcentral